GACGGAAGGUGCAAGCGUUGCUCGGAAUCACUGGGCGUAAAGGGUGCGUAGGCGGCCGUGCAAGUCUGGCGUGAAAGCCCCGGGCUCAGCCCGGGAAGUGCGCUCGAAACUGCGCGGCUCGAGUGCCGGAGGGGAGAGUGGAAUUCCUGGUGUAGCGGUGAAAUGCGUAGAUAUCAGGAGGAAUACCGGUGGCGAAAGCGACUCUCUGGACGGCAACUGACGCUGAGGCACGAAAGCGUGGGGAGCGAACAGG
RNAcentral lists this ribosomal RNA (253 nucleotides) under uncultured bacterium. RNAcentral's name for it is "partial 16S ribosomal RNA". It matches the Rfam family "Bacterial small subunit ribosomal RNA", at positions 524 to 776 of the family's 1533-position model. The record is from RNAcentral.